Notolabrus celidotus (New Zealand spotty) is the source of this 316-nucleotide long non-coding RNA. RefSeq lists it as uncharacterized. NCBI's taxonomy places the organism in Eukaryota, Metazoa, Chordata, Actinopteri, Labriformes, Labridae. The record is from RefSeq and is a predicted model, not a curated record. The transcript is spliced from 3 exons.
AUAGGAGGAGGAGCUGGAGCCCAUCUUGACCUCCCUCUCCUCUCGUAUGCACCUGCAAAGAAUCUGGUUCAGACCCCUGUCUGCAAACCUGAAGAGCCCACAGCCGGAGUGUUUUCCAGAGGAGCAACUAAAGAAACAAGUGAGAAACGGUUUCUACACACACUGUAAAGCCACUUGUUUGUCCUCAAUCAAGACAAGAUGAGAUGGAAAAUCAAAUGAAGACACGACUGCAUGGCCGAUAUUAAUCGAAGACUGAUUCAAGAUGAAAGUGGAGUCCAAACACAACAUGACAAAAUCUACAAAAGAGUCACAUUAG